This 253-nucleotide ribosomal RNA is filed under the name uncultured bacterium. RNAcentral's name for it is "partial 16S ribosomal RNA". It matches the Rfam family "Bacterial small subunit ribosomal RNA", at positions 524 to 776 of the family's 1533-position model. The record is from RNAcentral.
UACAGAGGCCCCGAGCGUUAAUCGGAGUCAUUGGGCUUAAAGGGUGCGUAGGCGGACCUUCAAGUGCCUUGUGAAAUCCCGCGGCUCAACCGCGGAAUUGCUCGGUAGACUGGAGGUCUUGAGGUUGGUAGAGGUUGCUGGAACUGUAGGUGUAGCGGUGAAAUGCGUAGAUAUCUACAGGAACGCCCAAGGUGAAGACAGGCAACUGGGCCAAUUCUGACGCUCAGGCACGAAAGCGUGGGGAGCAAACAGG